This 430-nucleotide ribosomal RNA is filed under the name Bacteroidota bacterium. RNAcentral describes it as "Bacteroidetes bacterium partial 16S ribosomal RNA". It matches the Rfam family "Bacterial small subunit ribosomal RNA", at positions 355 to 776 of the family's 1533-position model. The record is from RNAcentral. Lineage: Bacteria; Pseudomonadati; Bacteroidota.
UAGGGAAUCUUCGGCAAUGGGGGGAACCCUGACCGAGCAACGCCGCGUGAGUGAAGAAGGUUUUCGGAUCGUAAAGCUCUGUUGUUAAGGAAGAACGAGUGUGAGAAUGGAAAGUUCAUACUGUGACGGUACUUAACCAGAAAGGGACGGCUAACUACGUGCCAGCAGCCGCGGUAAUACGUAGGUCCCGAGCGUUGUCCGGAUUUAUUGGGCGUAAAGCGAGCGCAGGCGGUCAAUUAAGUCUGAUGUGAAAGCCCCCGGCUCAACCGGGGAGGGUCAUUGGAAACUGGUUGACUUGAGUGCAGAAGAGGAGAGUGGAAUUCCAGGUGUAGCGGUGAAAUGCGUAGAUAUAUGGAGGAACACCAGUGGCGAAGGCGACUCUCUGGUCUGUAACUGACGCUGAGGUUCGAAAGCGUGGGUAGCAAACAGG